CCUACGGGUGGCAGCAGUGGGGGAUAUUGGACAAUGGGGGGAACCCUGAUCCAGCGACGCCGCGUGAGUGAAGAAGUAUUUCGGUAUGUAAAGCUCUGUCAGCAGGGAAGAAAGAAAUGACGGUACCUGACCAAGAAGCCCCGGCUAACUACGUGCCAGCAGCCGCGGUAAUACGUAGGGGGCAAGCGUUAUCCGGAAUUACUGGGUGUAAAGGGAGCGUAGACGGUUAAGUAAGUCUGGAGUGAAAGGCCGGGGCCCAACCCCGGGACUGCUGUGGAAACUAUUGAACUUGAGUGCAGUGGAGGUAAGCGGAAUUCCUAGUGUAGCGGUGAAAUGCGUAGAUAUUAGGAGGAACACCAGUGGCGAAGGCGGCUUACUGGACUGUAACUGACGUUGAGGCUCGAAAGCGUGGGGAGCAAACAGGAUUAGAUACCCUAGUAGUC
RNAcentral lists this ribosomal RNA (443 nucleotides) under uncultured bacterium. RNAcentral describes it as "partial 16S ribosomal RNA". It matches the Rfam family "Bacterial small subunit ribosomal RNA", at positions 338 to 795 of the family's 1533-position model. The record is from RNAcentral.